Clostridium autoethanogenum DSM 10061 is the source of this 30-nucleotide non-coding RNA. NCBI's taxonomy places the organism in Bacteria, Bacillati, Bacillota, Clostridia, Eubacteriales, Clostridiaceae. The record is from Rfam.
AUUUAAAUACAUCUCAUGUUGAGGUUCAAC